AGCAAAAACGCACCGGGAGGCUUCUGAUUGAAAAUAUCGGGGGGAAACAGUCAUCCCAUUAACCACUGGAAAUUUCAUCACAAUUUAAUUCUCUAUCAACGUUUUUUAAAAGGCAAAAAGGGUCAAGAAUGAAGGGUGUUAUUCUUAGUUGUCUGUAUUAUUAGUUAACAUCAGCUGUCUGCUAUCCCCACCUCCGUGCCCAGUACAAAGGACACUGUAAACCACAUUUUUAGAAAAAGAAACUUGAUUUUUGUAGAAAUACAUAUAAAAAAAGAUUCAGGAUCUGUGGGUACUUACAUACGGUCAUUUUACAGAUUUUCUGGUGUGGUGGCUGGAAGACAAACUUCUUUUAAACUCUGUGAAAUUCAAUAUUUCACUGAAUUUAACAUAUUCUAAGUUACACAUAAUAUAUAUAGUGAAGCAGUUUUACACUGUUUCAAUAGGCUUUAAUUUUAAACAGUGUCUACUUUUCAUAUAUAAUGAAGGUGUAAUUUAUAACAAUAUUUUAAACAGUCCAAGCCAGUUAUUUAUACUGGUUUUUAUCUUGAAACGAGGUUUGCUGGGUCUUUUGGUUUUGCUUUAUUUACCUCAUCAUUCCCUUAUCACCCAGAGCCUUUUUUGCAAUUGUAUUUAUUUAAAAUGGUAUUUUUUUGCUUUUAAUAUAAUCGUGUUGUUUAGACAAGAGGUUUUUUUUCUUGCGAGUAUUGAGGAACUUGUUUUGCUGCUGUCCCCAGAGCAGUUCAGUACUGCGAUACGUGCAGUCAAACGGGGAAGAUUCCCAAAUUGUCUGUUCCCAUGCUUGGAAUUCAGACAAGCAGGCACUGUCUCCAUUCCUGUAAGGAGCAGUGAAAUUUGCUGUUGUGGAUCUGGGCUUAAACUGUUCCAGAAGCAAUUUCUGUUUAUAGGCCACUGUUUUUCUGGACAUUGUCCUGUGUUUUUGAGCAGAAAGCAGGCUUGCUGCCCUAGGGACAUAAUCAGUGAGUGUGGGCUGCUCUGGGUACAACGGGGCCGCGUUCUCACUCCGGGGUAAUGCAUGGAACCGUGUGGGACAAGGGCAGCAGAGCCACUUCUGUUCAUCCUGGCCUUGCUCGUCACCUCCCCUGCCCGGAGAGCCUCCUGCAGNNNNNNNNNNNNNNNNN
Molecule: long non-coding RNA, 1139 nt
Filed under: Zonotrichia albicollis (white-throated sparrow)
Lineage: Eukaryota; Metazoa; Chordata; Aves; Passeriformes; Passerellidae
Description: lncRNA (ENSZALG00000004233.1)
Source: RNAcentral